AGAGUUUGAUCCUGGCUCAGAUUGAACGCUGGCGGCAUGCCUAACACAUGCAAGUCGAGCGGCAGCGCGGGGCGACCCUCGGCGGCGAGCGGCGGACGGGUGAGUAAGGCAUCGGAAUCUGCCCUCGAUGUGGGGGAGUAACUAGGGAAACGUUACGCUAAUACCGCAUACGACCGAGAGGUGAAAGCGGGGGACCGAAAGACCUCGCGCUGAAGGAGCGGCCGAUGUCCGAUUAGCUAGUUGGGUGAGGUAAAGGACUUACCAAGGCGACGAUCGGUAGCUGGUCUGAGAGGAUGAUCAGCCACACUGGGACGUGAGACACGGCCCAGACUCCUACGGGA
This 341-nucleotide ribosomal RNA is filed under the name uncultured prokaryote. RNAcentral describes it as "bacterial SSU rRNA". It matches the Rfam family "Bacterial small subunit ribosomal RNA", at positions 8 to 346 of the family's 1533-position model. The record is from RNAcentral.